CUUUCUGACAGCAUCCAAUCUAAAGUCUUCACUUUCUGAGAUCCUGUCCGAAAUCAACCAAUUAAAGCCCAAAUCGUAUAACAGUUUCUCUCUAACUCCUCCCACUGAGAUGACCCAUAGUACCCCAUUCCUUGCUGCAAUGUAAUUACAAGUGUGCUCCUGGUGGUCUUUAACUGAAGGGCACUGACUGGGUACUGGUGAAGUUCCCCGCAGGAACUGAGUCAGACCCCAUCUCAGGGCCCUGCAGAAGAUAGGUGCCUGCUCUAAGGCGUGGACCCUCGCGACAGCCCUGGCCCGUCUUGACGGGCGAGGGUUACUGUACUUGUCCCAACCGUACAGAUGAGAAAGCUCAGACUCAGGGCCAGCAACCCCGGUCCCAGCGGAGCGCCCGGCACGCGCCGACACUUCAGCACCAGUCGCGGUGGCCACCACUGUGCGCGGAGAUGGCUGCGACGCGUGCGCAGGGAAAUUUGUGCACAGAGAUAACACAGGGGAUAUGCCAUAUGAAGAUGAAGGCAGAAUUCUACAAGCCCAGGAAUGCCAAAGAUUGCCAGCAAACCACCAGAAGCUAGGAGAGAAGUGUGGAUUAGAUUCUUUCUCACAGCCCUCAGAAGGAACCAGCCCUGCCAAGAACUUGAUCUCAGACUUCUAGUCUCCAGAACUGUGAGACAGUGCAUUUUGUUCUGUAAGUCAGCCACAUGGUUUGUGGCACUUUGUUAUGGCAGCCCUAGGAGAUGAAGACAAUAUGCAACAUGGUAUGUCCAUUAUAGGACACUGUGGGCUAUAAAUGUGUUCUUUGGCCUGAAGAAAUAAAACUUGGUGGUCCAAGUUGAUGUCUUAUCAUCUGUUCCAGUUCUUUUAUGGUAUUUUUGGCAUUUGAAUCUAAUGACUAUGCAAAGCCCAGUCCAGAGAAUGUGUCAGGACCCAUUAUAGCCUCCCAGGGAUACUGGCUUCAGUCUGGUAUAAUCUACUUGUUAGCUAUGAGUGGUGCCUUCCCACUGGGAACCUGCCCCAUAGCCACCUGCGGUCUCUGUCUUCCUGCUGUCAGAUAGGACAGUUCUUGUUGGCAUUUGGUGCCUCUGAGGGUGGAGGAGGGACUUGUU
Molecule: long non-coding RNA, 1103 nt
Filed under: Homo sapiens (human)
Lineage: Eukaryota; Metazoa; Chordata; Mammalia; Primates; Hominidae
Description: HSALNT0352154
Source: RNAcentral